The submitters of this non-coding RNA (52 nucleotides) gave its source as unclassified sequences. The record is from Rfam.
CCCUGACAGCCACAGGAUUUGGCUGACUAACCCAAGACAGGAGAUUGACAUG